CCCUUAGAUGUUCUGGGCCGCACGCGUGCUACACUGAGUGGAUCAGCGGGUCAGGUUGCGCGAAAGUGUUUCCUAAUCUUUAAAUCCGCUCGUGAUGGGGAUUGACGGUUGCAAUUUUCCGUCAUGAACGAGGAAUACCUUGUAAGCGCGGGUCAUCAUCCCGCGCUGAAUACGUCCCUGCCCUUUGUACACACCGCCCGUCGCUCCUACCGAUUGAGUGGUCCGGAGGCUUUGGGAUCUGAGCGGAAAGAGCGUUUCGCUGUUUCUGCCCGGAAAACUCAGUCGAACCUUAUCAUUUAGAGGAAGGAGAAGUCGUAACA
This 320-nucleotide ribosomal RNA is filed under the name uncultured eukaryote. RNAcentral's name for it is "partial 18S ribosomal RNA". It matches the Rfam family "Eukaryotic small subunit ribosomal RNA", at positions 1470 to 1796 of the family's 1831-position model. The record is from RNAcentral.